AGGAUUGUCUGCGCAGAUGCCAUCUUGAUCUCUCUAGAAAGGUUGGAUACAAGUAAGAGAGGAGAAGAGGGAGAGAAAGUGCCAAAGCCAGCACUUUGAAGGGGAAAAAAAAAAGACUAGAAGUAAUCACUUAAAGAAAAGAAAAAAAAAGCUUCACAGUUGGGCUCAUCCAGUCUGCCCUGCUGCUCUUCAGUCAUCUCUAAGCUGGCUCCAGGUGAGAUGUGCAGUGCUGGCAGAUGACGCCCUUCUCUCCAUCUGGGAACCUUUUCUGCACAAAUCUGAAGACCCAUUCUUGGCUGAGGGCAGGAAGGAUAUGAAGGAGCUUUCCCCUAAAGUCUUGGACGUGACAUCUCAGCCAUAGUUCUUAUUGAAGAAACAUCAGUCACCACCCCGAAGCCUUAUUAGCUGAGGUUUGCAAUCCAGGUCAAAGUGAAUUGAGUUCAACCUACUGAGGGAAGAAGCCUGGAAUCUAAAGUAUUGAAUCAGAAGAAGCAUUGAAUCAGUGUCUGAACUGAAUCUUGGAAUUAGUACGCGUAUUCCUACUGACAAGCUCUCCUAACUGAUGGCAUCAGUGAUUUCAGGAUCUUUUGAAGCAAAGCCAAAACUGAAUGAUAUGAUAUGUGCAUAACUGCCAUGAAACCACAGUGGUUCUGCCUUGAGUUCCGCUUUCCCCCUGUAGCACAAGAACUUGCUCAUGUCUUGACAUAUUGGCCAUGAAUACAUUGGCCAGCAUAAUUAUGACAACAUAGUACAGCUGAAUGAGAAGCUACUUGGAGAGGCACUUGGAAAGCAAAGAAUGUAGAUACAUAGCAACUGCAGCACUAUGGAAUUAAAGUCAACAGUAUCCAACUAUGGAAGAACAGGUGGCUGGGUAUGGAAGCAGUGGGAGAGGCUCACCUUUGGAAUGGAUAUCCAUCUCUGGACAGUAAAUUUACAUGAAACUUUUACUAGUAAAACUUGAAAGCUGACCACAGAAGACAAUGAAAAAGACGUAGAACAAGCCUGAUGUCCACUUCCCCCUCCUGCCUGUCAGCUAAUCAAGCCAAGUGUCACUUUACAGACAAUUUAAUCCCUUUGGUCAUGCUUUUUGUUUAAGUCAGGGCUAUUUGGGCUACAACUAAAGUUUUGACUGCUUCAACAUGACACCUUGCACAGACAUUGGCCCCAGGGAUGGCUGACUGACCCCCGACCUGGAACCCCUGCACCUGGGGCUCUCCCAGGCAUCCCUGCUCCAGAUGGAUGUUUUGAUCUCUGUAUGCGUUACUUUCCACAAGCUUCUCCCCUACUUUAGACAGGAUCAACCUGAUUUUAUCUGGAAGGUUUGCACCCUGACAGGUGCCACUGUUGAAUCUUGAGAAAUGUUGUCAGUGUGUCUUGCAAAA
Molecule: long non-coding RNA, 1382 nt
Organism: Sceloporus undulatus (fence lizard)
Lineage: Eukaryota; Metazoa; Chordata; Lepidosauria; Squamata; Phrynosomatidae
Exons: 4
Source: RefSeq, a predicted model, not a curated record